This is a long non-coding RNA of Danaus plexippus (monarch butterfly), 278 nucleotides long. RefSeq lists it as uncharacterized. Lineage: Eukaryota; Metazoa; Arthropoda; Insecta; Lepidoptera; Nymphalidae. The record is from RefSeq and is a predicted model, not a curated record. The transcript is spliced from 2 exons.
UUUUUUUUAAUUAUCUAAAUAAUUAUCUUCCGUACAUGAACGAGCAAUGAUAUACCUGUUGUUAAUGUUGCAACUUUAUAUUCUCAUGAGAUGCCUUAAUUGACUUAUACAAUUGAGUCAUCACGGAGUACAAUUUAAUACUCUCCAGCGACUUACCUGUUUAAAGUAAUCAGAGCGAUACUCAAGAGAGAUACUCCUACAUUUCCAUAUCUGAGGAACGGCACGAGUUUGCAAAGAGCCCCCCCAUGGGACCAAGUUCUCGUCCAGAAGCCGGAUAU